CCUGUCUCCUCCCACCACCCUCAAAAGGGGUCUGUGUUGUAGCAACACUGAUUCCAGCAGAAGAGACUGGAUGUGGCUGCUUCCAAAGCCAGCCGGCACUACUGCAUGAACAGGCUCCUUAAUUCAGGGUCUGAAUGCGUGCCAUGUCUGAAUCACAGGUGGGGUGGCAGGUCCUCACUAUGACUUCACCAGAAGACUGCAGAUUUUCUGGCAAUUCCUGCACCUCGUCCUCUCCAAAACCAGUGUCUGGGCU
Caretta caretta (loggerhead turtle) is the source of this 253-nucleotide non-coding RNA. The record is from RefSeq and is a predicted model, not a curated record. Lineage: Eukaryota; Metazoa; Chordata; Testudines; Cheloniidae.